RNAcentral lists this ribosomal RNA (336 nucleotides) under uncultured bacterium. RNAcentral describes it as "bacterial SSU rRNA". It matches the Rfam family "Bacterial small subunit ribosomal RNA", at positions 18 to 344 of the family's 1533-position model. The record is from RNAcentral.
CAUGGCUCAGGAUGAACGCUGGCGGCGUGCCUAAUACAUGCAAGUAGAACGCUGAAGGUUGGUGCUUGCACCUAGCGGAUGAGUUGCGAACGGGUGAGUAACGCGUAGGUAACCUGCCUCGUAGCGGGGGAUAACUAUUGGAAACGAUAGCUAAUACCGCAUAAAAGUAGACAUUGCAUGAUAUUUACUUAAAAGGUGCAACUGCAUCACUAACAGAUGGACCUGCGUUGUAUUAGCUAGUUGGUGAGGUAACGGCUCACCAAGGCGACGAUACAUAGCCGACCUGAGAGGGUGAUCGGCCACACUGGGACUGAGACACGGCCCAGACUCCUACGG